This 301-nucleotide ribosomal RNA is filed under the name uncultured Meiothermus sp. RNAcentral's name for it is "bacterial SSU rRNA". The stretch from base 54 to 301 matches the Rfam family "Bacterial small subunit ribosomal RNA", at positions 548 to 795 of the family's 1533-position model. The record is from RNAcentral. Lineage: Bacteria; Thermotogati; Deinococcota; Deinococci; Thermales; Thermaceae.
UGUGUACGUAGGUAGCGGGUCGUGGGUAAUUCGGAGGGGUUGUUGGUUAUCCUGAUUGAAGGUGUUUAAAGGGUGGGUGUGCGGGGGUUUAAGGCCUGGGUGAAAUCUGUGAGGGCAACGCAGAAACGGCCUUGUGUACUAUGUAGUUUGAAUAGCGGUGAGGGAGGCGGAAUAUUUGAGGUAGCGUUGAAAUGCAUAGAUAUGACAUAGAACACCAAUGGCGAAGGCAGCUUGCUAAACGAUGAUUGACGCUGAGGCACGAAAGCGUGGGGAUCAAACAGGAUUAGAUACCCCGGUAGUC